This 120-nucleotide ribosomal RNA is filed under the name uncultured bacterium. RNAcentral describes it as "partial 16S ribosomal RNA". It matches the Rfam family "Bacterial small subunit ribosomal RNA", at positions 32 to 144 of the family's 1533-position model. The record is from RNAcentral.
AAUCAACGCUGGCGGCGUGCCUCAGACAUGCAAGUCGAACGAUUAAAGCUCCCUUCGGGGAGUGCAUAAAGUGGCGCACGGGUGAGUAACACGUAAGUAAUCUACCCUCGGGUGGGGAAU